This 245-nucleotide ribosomal RNA is filed under the name uncultured Bacteroidales bacterium. RNAcentral's name for it is "partial 16S ribosomal RNA". It matches the Rfam family "Bacterial small subunit ribosomal RNA", at positions 524 to 768 of the family's 1533-position model. Lineage: Bacteria; Pseudomonadati; Bacteroidota; Bacteroidia; Bacteroidales. The record is from RNAcentral.
UACGGAGGAUGCAAGCGUUAUCCGGAUUUAUUGGGUUUAAAGGGUGCGUAGGCUGUUUUCCAAGUCAGCGGUGAAAUGCCGGGGCUUAACCCCGGAACUGCCAUUGAUACUGGGAGGCUUGAAUGCGGAUGCCGUGGGAGGAAUGAGUAGUGUAGCGGUGAAAUGCAUAGAUAUUACUCAGAACACCGAUUGCGAAGGCAUCUCACGAAUCCGCUAUUGACGCUGAGGCACGAAAGCGUGGGGAU